RNAcentral lists this ribosomal RNA (492 nucleotides) under uncultured bacterium. RNAcentral describes it as "partial 16S ribosomal RNA". It matches the Rfam family "Bacterial small subunit ribosomal RNA", at positions 29 to 507 of the family's 1533-position model. The record is from RNAcentral.
AGUGAACGCUGGCGGUAGGCCUAACACAUGCAAGUCGAACGGCAGCACAGUAAGAGCUUGCUCUUACGGGUGGCGAGUGGCGGACGGGUGAGGAAUCCAUCGGAAUCUACUUUUUCGUGGGGGAUAACGUAGGGAAACUUACGCUAAUACCGCAUACGACCUACGGGUGAAAGCAGGGGAUCUUCGGACCUUGCGCGAUUGAAUGAGCCGAUGUCGGAUUAGCUAGUUGGCGGGGUAAAGGCCCACCAAGGCGACGAUCCGUAGCUGGUCUGAGAGGAUGAUCAGCCACACUGGAACUGAGACACGGUCCAGACUCCUACGGGAGGCAGCAGUGGGGAAUAUUGGACAAUGGGCGCGAGCCUGAUCCAGCCAUACCGCGUGGGUGAAGAAGGCCUUCGGGUUGGAAAGACCGUUUGUUGGGAGAGAAAAGCAGCAGGUUAAUACCCCGCUGUUCUGACGGUACCCAAAGAAUAAGCACCGGCUAACUUCGUG